AGAGUUUGAUCCUGGCUCAGAAUCAACGCUGGCGGCGUGCCUAACACAUGCAAGUCGAACGAGAAAGUGGAGCAAUCCAUGAGUACAGUGGCGCACGGGUGAGUAACACGUGACUACCUAUCGAGUGGGGAAUAACUUCGGGAAACCGAGGCUAAUACCGCAUAACAUCUACGGAUCAAAUGCGAAAGCAGCUUGAGGAG
RNAcentral lists this ribosomal RNA (200 nucleotides) under uncultured bacterium. RNAcentral's name for it is "partial 16S ribosomal RNA". It matches the Rfam family "Bacterial small subunit ribosomal RNA", at positions 8 to 226 of the family's 1533-position model. The record is from RNAcentral.